RNAcentral lists this ribosomal RNA (496 nucleotides) under uncultured bacterium. RNAcentral describes it as "partial 16S ribosomal RNA". It matches the Rfam family "Bacterial small subunit ribosomal RNA", at positions 29 to 507 of the family's 1533-position model. The record is from RNAcentral.
AUGAACGCUGGCGGCGUGCCUCAUACAUGCAAGUCGAGCGAACGGACGAGAAGCUUGCUUCUCUGAUGUUAGCGGCGGACGGGUGAGUAACCCGUGGAUAACCUACCUAUAAGACUGGGAUAACUUCGGGAAACCGUAGCUAAUACCGGAUAAUAUUUUGAACCGCAUGGUUCCAAAGUGAAAGACGGUCUUGCUGUCACUUAUAGAUGGAUCCGCGCUGCAUUAGCUAGUUGGUAAGGUAACGGCUUACCAAGGCAACGAUGCAUAGCCGACCUGAGAGGGUGAUCGGCCACACUGGAACUGAGACACGGUCCAGACUCCUACGGGAGGCAGCAGUAGGGAAUCUUCCGCAAUGGGCGAAAGCCUGACGGAGCAACGCCGCGUGAGUGAUGAAGGUCUUCGGAUCGUAAAACUCUGUUAUUAGGGAAGAACAUAUGUGUAAGUAACUGUGCACAUCUUGACGGUACCUAAUCAGAAAGCCACGGCUAACUACGUG